RNAcentral lists this ribosomal RNA (444 nucleotides) under Bacillus sp. R-26866. RNAcentral's name for it is "bacterial SSU rRNA". It matches the Rfam family "Bacterial small subunit ribosomal RNA", at positions 28 to 462 of the family's 1533-position model. Lineage: Bacteria; Bacillati; Bacillota; Bacilli; Caryophanales; Bacillaceae. The record is from RNAcentral.
GACGAACGCUGGCGGCGUGCCUAAUACAUGCAAGUCGAGCGAAUCGAYGGGAGCUUGCUCCCUGAGAUUAGCGGCGGACGGGUGAGUAACACGUGGGCAACCUGCCUAUAAGACUGGGAUAACUUCGGGAAACCGGAGCUAAUACCGGAUACGUUCUUUUCUCGCAUGAGAGAAGAUGGAAAGACGGUUUACGCUGUCACUUAUAGAUGGGCCCGCGGCGCAUUAGCUAGUUGGUGAGGUAAUGGCUCACCAAGGCGACGAUGCGUAGCCGACCUGAGAGGGUGAUCGGCCACACUGGGACUGAGACACGGCCCAGACUCCUACGGGAGGCAGCAGUAGGGAAUCUUCCGCAAUGGACGAAAGUCUGACGGAGCAACGCCGCGUGAACGAAGAAGGCCUUCGGGUCGUAAAGUUCUGUUGUUAGGGAAGAACAAGUACCAGAGU